CUCCAAACAGGCUUCGGUCGGCCGGCGCCCGAUCGUCCGGCUUCGGAAGCCGGUCUCCUGCCUCGGCUCGGCUUUGUUGACUCGCCGCUCCUAGUCGUCGUCGUCGUCGUCGCCGUCGCCGUCGUCGCUUCAAGGAGAACGAAGCACCCCACCUUCGACGCUCGAGAUUCUCCAUCAAAGCCUUCUCAGAAAUCCUCAAGCUCCUCUCGCUAGCUCGGCCAUGUUCGGUGCUCGCGACGCCUUCGCCGCGUGAUCUUCAGCUGCUACGGUGGUUUCCCCCGCCGGCUCCGGAGAGACGAUGGUGAGCAAGUUCCUCUGCGACUUCCGGUGGUUCCUCCUCCUCGCCGUGGCGGUGGCGUUGAUCCACAUCCAGAGAUGCUCCAGCAUCAAGCAAUGUACAUAUGUAUGUAGCAGUCAUGUUGGCUUCCGUGAUCAAUUCUUCUUGCGUUGAUGUGUCUUUUCACGACACAAUUGGAACAUGCUGAUCAACUUGCUGCUGCUGGAAGUCUCCAUCCUAUUACCUCAUCCUGGAUGGUGUACCAAGGACAGCAUGUGAAGGAGCAGUA
Long non-coding RNA from Eucalyptus grandis, 566 nucleotides. RefSeq lists it as uncharacterized. The record is from RefSeq and is a predicted model, not a curated record. NCBI's taxonomy places the organism in Eukaryota, Viridiplantae, Streptophyta, Magnoliopsida, Myrtales, Myrtaceae. The transcript has 4 exons.